Molecule: ribosomal RNA, 501 nt
Filed under: uncultured bacterium
Lineage: Bacteria
Description: partial 16S ribosomal RNA
Rfam family: Bacterial small subunit ribosomal RNA
Source: RNAcentral
AUUGAACGCUGGCGGCAGGCUUAACACAUGCAAGUCGAGCGGGGAUUGGGUGCUUGCACCUAAUCUUAGCGGCGGACGGGUGAGUAAAGCUUAGGAAUCUGCCAUUUAGUGGGGGACAACAUUCCGAAAGGGAUGCUAAUACCGCAUACGCCCUACGGGGGAAAGCAGGGGAUCUUCGGACCUUGCGCUAAAUGAUGAGCCUAAGUCGGAUUAGCUAGUUGGUGGGGUAAAGGCCUACCAAGGCGACGAUCUGUAGCGGGUCUGAGAGGAUGAUCCGCCACACGGGGACUGAGACACGGCCCAGACUCCUACGGGAGGUAGCAGUGGGGAAUAUUGGACAAUGGGCGGAAGCCUGAUCCAGCCAUGCCGCGUGUGUGAAGAAGGCCUUAUGGUUGUAAAGCACUUUAAGCGAGGAGGAGGCUACUCUAGUUAAUACCUAGGGAUAGUGGACGUUACUCGCAGAAUAAGCACCGGCUAACUCUGUGCCAGCCGCCGCAGUAA